AACGAACGCUGGCGGCAUGCCUAACACAUGCAAGUCGAACGAGACCUUCGGGUCUAGUGGUGCACGGGUGCGUAACGCGUGGGAACCUGCCCUUAGGUUCGGAAUAACUCCCCGAAAGGGGUGCUAAUACCGGAUAAUGUCUUCGGACCAAAGAUUUAUCGCCUUUGGAUGGGCCCGCGUUGGAUUAGCUAGUUGGUAGGGUAAAAGCCUACCAAGGCGACGAUCCAUAGCUGGUCUGAGAGGAUGAUCAGCCACACUGGGACUGAGACACGGCCCAGACUCCCACGGGAGGCAGCAGUGGGGAAUAUUGGACAAUGGGCGAAAGCCUGAUCCAGCAAUGCCGCGUGAGUGAUGAAGGCCUUAGGGUUGUAAAGCUCUUUUACCCGGGAUGAUAAUGACAGUACCGGGAGAAUAAGCUCCGGCUAACUCCGUG
This 433-nucleotide ribosomal RNA is filed under the name uncultured bacterium. RNAcentral's name for it is "partial 16S ribosomal RNA". It matches the Rfam family "Bacterial small subunit ribosomal RNA", at positions 29 to 507 of the family's 1533-position model. The record is from RNAcentral.